RNAcentral lists this ribosomal RNA (86 nucleotides) under Staphylococcus aureus. RNAcentral describes it as "partial 23S ribosomal RNA". It matches the Rfam family "Bacterial large subunit ribosomal RNA", at positions 2840 to 2925 of the family's 2925-position model. Lineage: Bacteria; Bacillati; Bacillota; Bacilli; Caryophanales; Staphylococcaceae. The record is from RNAcentral.
AAAGAUGAUGAGGUUAAUAGGUUCGAGGUGGAAGCAUGGUGACAUGUGGAGCUGACGAAUACUAAUCGAUCGAAGACUUAAUCAAA